GCUAACGCAUUAAGUGCCCCGCCUGGGGAGUACGGCCGCAAGGCUAAAACUCAAAGGAAUUGACGGGGGCCCGCACAAGCGGCGGAGCAUGCGGAUUAAUUCGAUGCAACGCGAAGAACCUUACCAAGGCUUGACAUGAACCGGUAAUACCUGGAAACAGGUGCCCCGCUUGCGGUCGGUUUACAGGUGGUGCAUGGUUGUCGUCAGCUCGUGUCGUGAGAUGUUGGGUUAAGUCCCGCAACGAGCGCAACCCUCGUUCUAUGUUGCCAGCACGUGAUGGUGGGGACUCAUAGGAGACUGCCGGGGUCAACUCGGAGGAAGGUGGGGACGACGUCAAAUCAUCAUGCCCCUUAUGUCUUGGGCUUCACGCAUGCUACAAUGGCCGGUACAAAGGGUUGCGAUACUGUGAGGUGGAGCUAAUCCCAAAAAGCCGGUCUCAGUUCGGAUUGGGGUCUGCAACUCGACCCCAUGAAGUCGGAGUCGCUAGUAAUCGCAGAUCAGCAACGCUGCGGUGAAUACGUUCCCGGGCCUUGUACACACCGCCCGUCAAGUCACGAAAGUUGGUAACACCCGAAGCCGGUGGCCUAACCCCUUUGUGGGAGGGAGCUGUCGAAGGUGGGACUGGCGAUUGGGACUAAGUCGUAACAAGGUAGCCGUACCGGAAGGUGCGGCUG
Molecule: ribosomal RNA, 674 nt
Filed under: bacterium TN150A
Lineage: Bacteria
Description: bacterial SSU rRNA
Rfam family: Bacterial small subunit ribosomal RNA
Source: RNAcentral